GAUGAACGCUGGCGGCGUGCCUAAUACAUGCAAGUCGAGCGAAUGGAUUAAGAGCUUGCUCUUAUGAAGUUAGCGGCGGACGGGCGAGUAACACGUGGGUAACCUGCCCAUAAGACUGGGAUAACUCCGGGAAACCGGGGCUAAUACCGGAUAACAUUUUGAACCGCAUGGUUCGAAAUUGAAAGGCGGCUUCGGCUGUCACUUAUGGAAGGGCCCGCGUCGCAUUAGCUAGUUGGUGAGGUAACGGCUCACCAAGGCAACGAUGCGUAGCCGACCUGAGAGGGUGAUCGGCCACACUGGGACUGAGACACGGCCCAGACUCCUACGGGAGGCAGCAGUAGGGAAUCUUCCGCAAUGGACGAAAGUCUGACGGAGCAACGCCGCGUGAGUGAUGAAGGCUUUCGGGUCGUGAAACUCUGUUGUUAGGGAAGAACAAGUGCUAGUUGAAUAAGCUGGCACCUUGACGGUACCUAACCAGAAAGCCACGGCUAACUACGUGCCAGCCGCCGCCGUAA
RNAcentral lists this ribosomal RNA (515 nucleotides) under uncultured bacterium. Its description in RNAcentral is "partial 16S ribosomal RNA". It matches the Rfam family "Bacterial small subunit ribosomal RNA", at positions 28 to 523 of the family's 1533-position model. The record is from RNAcentral.